CUGGUGAGGUGGGACUUCAAUGCCUUUUAGGUUUACAGUCUUUUCCUCCCCACGGCUUCUCUUUCCUCCGCGUCUCAGGCACUGGGCAUUUCCAGUCGAUCCAGCAGGUCUGGCUUCUCUCACAUAUGCAGUAAGGGUUAGGGGAGAAGGUCCCAGCUCCUCUUGUCUCUAGCAGAGUGUAAACUGGCUCUGCUGAGGAGGUGGCUGUGCUUUUAUCCCUUCUCCUGAGAACUGUUUAUAUAUUAAGGAGCUUCACAGCCUCCAACAUAAGGAAAGCAGGCCUCAAACUUCUUCAUGGGAAAAAAUGGCUUCUCUUUUUUAAUUGAAUGAACUAGAAGAAGUUCAUUGUUAUUCAUCAACUUCAAAGAGACUAUAUGAGGCCCCUUGGCCAGGACUACAGAGCAGUAUUUUUUAAUCAGAAAUUAUGGCCAAAAAGAAGAGACCAGAACACAUGGGUCUCCAGCGUACCAGGAUUUGUGAAGGCCUGAAGUUCGUAGAAUGAAAUCUAUGUGGAGAUGAUUUAAAAGAACGGUUUCACUGCUAAAAUCCUUUCGAAAUGAGUUCCUUUAAUUUCUUCAGUAACUAAAUCCUCCAGAAAGGAAAGCCGAGAGAAUCUAGUCCUAUACAAUAACACCCUCUAACAAAGAUCGCUAAAGGAAGAUUUUAGUAGAUGAAUAUCUUCAAUAAUACAUGGUCACAUACAUGUAUCUGACCAUAUGAUGGCUCUCUGCACCAAAUUCCUCCAAACUAUUAUAAUAUGUAUUGUCUGUAGUGCUA
RNAcentral lists this non-coding RNA (777 nucleotides) under Pan troglodytes (chimpanzee). Lineage: Eukaryota; Metazoa; Chordata; Mammalia; Primates; Hominidae. The record is from RNAcentral.